Molecule: ribosomal RNA, 244 nt
Filed under: Staphylococcus aureus
Lineage: Bacteria; Bacillati; Bacillota; Bacilli; Caryophanales; Staphylococcaceae
Description: partial 23S ribosomal RNA
Rfam family: Bacterial large subunit ribosomal RNA
Source: RNAcentral
CUUAGUACCCGGAGGAAGAAAAAGAAAAUUCGAUUCCCUUAGUAGCGGCGAGCGAAACGGGAAGAGCCCAAACCAACAAGCUUGCUUGUUGGGGUUGUAGGACACUCUAUACGGAGUUACAAAGGACGACAUUAGACGAAUCAUCUGGAAAGAUGAAUCAAAGAAGGUAAUAAUCCUGUAGUCGAAAAUGUUGUCUCUCUUGAGUGGAUCCUGAGUACGACGGAACACGUGAAAUUCCGUCGGA